This 470-nucleotide ribosomal RNA is filed under the name uncultured bacterium. Its description in RNAcentral is "bacterial SSU rRNA". It matches the Rfam family "Bacterial small subunit ribosomal RNA", at positions 52 to 511 of the family's 1533-position model. The record is from RNAcentral.
CACAUGCAAGUCGGACGGCAGCACAGAGAAGCUUGCUUCUUGGGUGGCGAGUGGCGAACGGGUGAGUAACAUAUCGGAACGUACCGAGCAGUGGGGGAUAACUAAUCGAAAGAUUAGCUAAUACCGCAUAUAUUCUGAGGAAGAAAGCAGGGGACCAUUUGGCCUUGCGCUGUUUGAGCGGCCGAUAUCUGAUUAGCUAGUUGGUGGGGUAAAGGCCUACCAAGGCGACGAUCAGUAGCGGGUCUGAGAGGAUGAUCCGCCACACUGGGACUGAGACACGGCCCAGACUCCUACGGGAGGCAGCAGUGGGGAAUUUUGGACAAUGGGCGCAAGCCUGAUCCAGCCAUGCCGCGUGUCUGAAGAAGGCCUUCGGGUUGUAAAGGACUUUUGUCAGGGAAGAAAAGGGCGGGGUUAAUACCCCUGUCUGAUGACGGUACCUGAAGAAUAAGCACCGGCUAACUACGUGCCAG